RNAcentral lists this ribosomal RNA (270 nucleotides) under Sellaphora capitata. RNAcentral's name for it is "partial 26S ribosomal RNA". It matches the Rfam family "Eukaryotic large subunit ribosomal RNA", at positions 1 to 278 of the family's 3401-position model. Lineage: Eukaryota; Bacillariophyta; Bacillariophyceae; Sellaphorales; Sellaphoraceae. The record is from RNAcentral.
UCUGAUCUCAGAUCAAGCAAGAAGACCCGCCGAAUUUAAGCAUAUAAUUAAGCGGAGGAAAAGAAACUAACCAGGAUUCCCCUAGUAAGGGCGACUGAAGCGGGAAUAGCUCACGAUGUGAAUCAGCGCUGCUUUGUGGCGCCGAAUUGUGGUCUGAAAACGUUUGCAUUACUGGCGGGGCCAAGUCCCUUGGAACAGGGCAGCCGAGAGGGUGAGACUCCCGUGUGCCCUGCCUUUGGAGCGAGCGUUUGACGAGUCGAGUUGUUUGGG